CAGCAGCCGCGGUAAUACGAAGGGUGCAAGCGUUAAUCGGAAUUACUGGGCGUAAAGCGUGCGUAGGCGGUAAGUUAAGUCUGCUGUGAAAUCCCCGGGCUCAACCUGGGAAUGGCAGUGGAUACUGGCUCGCUAGAGUGUGUCAGAGGAUGGUGGAAUUCCCGGUGUAGCGGUGAAAUGCGUAGAGAUCGGGAGGAACAUCAGUGGCGAAGGCGGCCAUCUGGGACAACACUGACGCUGAGGCACGAAAGCGUGGGGAGCAAACAGGAUUAGAUACCCCAGUAGUCCCUGUCUCUUAUAC
Molecule: ribosomal RNA, 301 nt
Filed under: uncultured bacterium
Lineage: Bacteria
Description: partial 16S ribosomal RNA
Rfam family: Bacterial small subunit ribosomal RNA
Source: RNAcentral